This 435-nucleotide ribosomal RNA is filed under the name uncultured bacterium. RNAcentral's name for it is "partial 16S ribosomal RNA". It matches the Rfam family "Bacterial small subunit ribosomal RNA", at positions 29 to 507 of the family's 1533-position model. The record is from RNAcentral.
AGCGAACGCUGGCGGCAGGCUUAACACAUGCAAGUCGAGCGGGCACUUUCGGGUGUCAGCGGCGGACGGGUGAGUAACGCGUGGGAACGUGCCCUCUGGUUCGGAAUAACUCAGGGAAACUUGAGCUAAUACCGGAUACGCCCUUUUGGGGAAAGGCUUGCUGCCGGAGGAUCGGCCCGCGUCUGAUUAGCUAGUUGGUGAGGUAACGGCUCACCAAGGCGACGAUCAGUAGCUGGUCUGAGAGGAUGAUCAGCCACACUGGGACUGAGACACGGCCCAGACUCCUACGGGAGGCAGCAGUGGGGAAUAUUGGACAAUGGGCGCAAGCAUGAUCCAGCCAUGCCGCGUGAGUGAUCAAGGCCUUAGGGUUGUAAAGCUCUUUUAUCCGGGACGAUAAUGACGGUACCGGAGGAAUAAGCCCCGGCUAACUUCGUG